RNAcentral lists this ribosomal RNA (253 nucleotides) under uncultured bacterium. RNAcentral's name for it is "partial 16S ribosomal RNA". It matches the Rfam family "Bacterial small subunit ribosomal RNA", at positions 524 to 776 of the family's 1533-position model. The record is from RNAcentral.
UACGGGGGGGGCAAGCGUUGUUCGGAAUUACUGGGCGUAAAGGGCUCGUAGGCGGCCAACUAAGUCAGACGUGAAAUCCCUCGGCUUAACCGGGGAACUGCGUCUGAUACUGGAUGGCUUGAGUUUGGGAGAGGGAUGCGGAAUUCCAGGUGUAGCGGUGAAAUGCGCAGAUAUCAGGAAGAACACCCGUGGCGAAGGCGGUUCUCUGGGACGGUACUGACGCUGAGACGCGAAAGCGUGGGGAGCGAACAGG